GUUGGGGUGGCAGAGCCCGGAUAUAUUGCAAAAGGCCUAAGCCCUUUAAACAGAGGUUCAAGUCCUCUCCCUAACU
Molecule: transfer RNA, 76 nt
Filed under: Neoepinnula minetomai
Lineage: Eukaryota; Metazoa; Chordata; Actinopteri; Scombriformes; Gempylidae
Description: tRNA-Leu
Rfam family: tRNA
About the family: Transfer RNA (tRNA) molecules are approximately 80 nucleotides in length. Their secondary structure includes four short double-helical elements and three loops (D, anti-codon, and T loops). Further hydrogen bonds mediate the characteristic L-shaped molecular structure. tRNAs have two regions of fundamental functional importance: the anti-codon, which is responsible for specific mRNA codon recognition, and the 3' end, to which the tRNAs corresponding amino acid is attached (by aminoacyl-tRNA synthetases). tRNAs cope with the degeneracy of the genetic code in two manners: having more than one tRNA (with a specific anti-codon) for a particular amino acid; and 'wobble' base-pairing, i.e. permitting non-standard base-pairing at the 3rd anti-codon position.
Source: RNAcentral